UCAUCUCUUGAUCAUAAUCUCAAUUCAGAGUUUGGAUCUCAUAUCUGACUUCUCUUUCGCAUAUCAAGUUAAAAUACUUGAUUUAAAUAUUCUGAACAAUUCAUAUAAUAAAAUAUUUAUUAUAUAAUUCCAAUUAUCACUUCAUAUAUUAUUUCCAAUCAUGUUUUCAUGGAAAAUAAUUAAUAAAAACAUUUCUGCUUACAGAAAU
RNAcentral lists this long non-coding RNA (208 nucleotides) under Panax ginseng (ginseng). RNAcentral describes it as "long non-coding RNA (PGIN_LNC011008)". The record is from RNAcentral. Lineage: Eukaryota; Viridiplantae; Streptophyta; Magnoliopsida; Apiales; Araliaceae.